CCGUUGCUAUGGUAAAUUUUGCCAUAGUAACCGUUGCUAUGUAACCGUUGCUAUGGUAACUGUUGUUAUAGUAACCAUUGCCAAAGUGGUCACCAUAGCAACGAAAAGCAACAACAAU
Cotesia glomerata is the source of this 118-nucleotide long non-coding RNA. RefSeq lists it as uncharacterized. NCBI's taxonomy places the organism in Eukaryota, Metazoa, Arthropoda, Insecta, Hymenoptera, Braconidae. The transcript is spliced from 2 exons. The record is from RefSeq and is a predicted model, not a curated record.